This 255-nucleotide ribosomal RNA is filed under the name uncultured bacterium. Its description in RNAcentral is "partial 16S ribosomal RNA". It matches the Rfam family "Bacterial small subunit ribosomal RNA", at positions 524 to 776 of the family's 1533-position model. The record is from RNAcentral.
UACGUAGGGUGCGAGCGUUGUCCGGAAUUAUUGGGCGUAAAGAGCUCGUAGGCGGUCUGUCGCGUCGGUCGUGAAAACUUGGGGCUUAACCCUGAGCUUGCGGUCGAUACGGGCAUGACUGGAGUUCGGUAGGGGAGACUGGAAUUCCUGGUGUAGCGGUGAAAUGCGCAGAUAUCAGGAGGAACACCGGUGGCGAAGGCGGCAUCCUGGACCAACACUGACGCUGAGUGAGCGAAAGCCAGGGGAGCAAACGGG